Molecule: ribosomal RNA, 467 nt
Filed under: uncultured bacterium
Lineage: Bacteria
Description: partial 16S ribosomal RNA
Rfam family: Bacterial small subunit ribosomal RNA
Source: RNAcentral
GAUGAACGCUGGCGGCGUGCUUAACACAUGCAAGUCGAACGGUGAAGCAGAGCUUGCUCUGUGGAUCAGUGGCGAACGGGUGAGUAACACGUGAGCAACCUGCCCCUGACUCUGGGAUAAGCGCUGGAAACGGCGUCUAAUACUGGAUAUGAGCUGCGACCGCAUGGUCAGCAGUUGGAAAGAUUUUUCGGUCUGGGAUGGGCUCACGGCCUAUCAGCUUGUUGGUGAGGUAAUGGCUCACCAAGGCGUCGACGGGUAGCCGGCCUGAGAGGGUGACCGGCCACGCUGGGACUGAGACACGGCCCAGACUCCUACGGGAGGCAGCAGUGGGGAAUAUUGCACAAUGGGCGAAAGCCUGAUGCAGCAACGCCGCGUGAGGGAUGACGGCCUUCGGGUUGUAAACCUCUUUUAGCAGUGAAGAAGCGAAAGUGACGGUACCUGCAGAAAAAGCGCCGGCUAACUACGUG